GCAGAGGGCUUUCUAUAUCAUGGGGUUCUUUCCCUAGCCCACAGGAAAAAUCAGUUCACACGUGCUUAGAGAAUGAGUGCAAGGUUUUAUUGAGUGGUGGAAGUAGCUCUCGGGAUGGAUGGGGAGCCAGAAGGGGGAUGGAGUGGGAAGGUGGUCUUCCACUAGAGUCGGGCCACUCAUUGGUCUGGUUCUCCUUGUACUGCCUUUGGCUGAAUUUCCCUCAGUGUCUGCAUUGUUCCACUGUUGAUGGCCUGUUGAUGUUUGUGUGUUCUUCUGCCAGUGUGGUGGUCUUGACAUCCAGCCACUUGUGUGUAUCCCCACUAUGGUUUCAGAGUUUUUGUAGGCACAGUGUGAGGGGUGUGGUGGGCCAGGGUGGUCUUGGAAAAUGCAACAUUUGAGCAUGAAAACAGUGCUGGUCCUCACCUGGAUUCAUGGGCACAGGCCUGAAGGUGGAGCCCUCACCAGGGACCCCGACUUUCUCUACCCAGCACUUCCCCGCCACCCCUCCUGCAUCAUAUUCAUGAAGAUUGAUAAUGUGGUUAGUCUCAGACUAAUGAGCUGAGGAAGUCAGAUACAAAAUGGUACAUACUGUAUGAUUCCAUGUAUAGAAAGUUUAAAUGGUAAAACUAUCAUUAUAGAUGCCUUGAAGGGAUGUUUACAAAGAGGGUUUUUAUGGUGUCGAUAAGUGAUGUUCUUUUUGUAGGUAUACUUCAGAGAUAGAUGUUCGCCUUGUAAUUCAUUGAGCCGUACAUUUACUAUGCAUGCAUGUUUCUGUUUACCAGAUGUAUUUUGUAGAUGACUUUUCCCCAAAAGUAUUAUUUUAUAAAACCUUUCAUAAACAGCUCCAUGAAUUUUGGCAAAUACACUGUUGUUAUAAACUCACAGUUAGAUCAAUAUGUGGAAUAUUUCUAGCAUUCCUAAGAACUUUGUAUUUCGUCUUAAACUUAGGAAAUCAGUAGUAUUAGUGGCUCCAUGUCACCAUUGAGGAACAUUGGCACAGGAAGUUAAGAACCUGUCUGUUGGUACUACCAGCUCUUCUUUGGAUAAUUUUUGCCUGCCCAUUGUGUCAGAGAUGGCAAAGAGGACAGUGAUAUUAGCUGCCUUUCUUUGUGAGAUGAAAUUGUCAACCAGUAUGUUGUCCUGGAAAAUAAUACUCUCUUUCCACAUGACUAGGCCAAAAGCAAUCUGGGUGGUGGAGCAUCAGACACUCUUCUGAAUCAUUUCCCAAUCAUUGUCAUCCUUGAUGAUGCUAUGGGGUCUCAAGAAUUGCCAGUGCCAGGUGCAGGGGUGCUAAUAGCAGGCUAGAAACUGCUCCUCGAGGAUGUAAUCAUCGUCUAUCAAGCUGGAUUGUCAGUUUUUGUUUUUUACUGGCAAACCAAAGAAGUGAGGCUGAAGCCCUAGGAAUUUCAUUGUACAUACGUUUAAGCUCUGAUGCUUUUAUUGGACCUAGAUAAGGUAGGUGUUGACUGAAGCAAAUACAUGCUACAUCAUGGGGUUUCAUGUGGAUUCUCUAAUUCAAAUAAAAUUCUCAGUGGCCUCAUGUAGUGCCACCUUUGUCUUAGAAUGACCCAAUGCUCUCAUCUCAUAACAUUUUGUUCACUAUUACAAGAGAUUUCUAGCUUCCCUUAGGAAUUAAGAGCCCUCACCUAGACUGCAGCUCUCUAGUGACAUGAGAGGUCCAGGGAAGUUAUGUGUCUGUUUCUGAAAAGCAUAGGAUUAGAAAUUAAAAUAGGUUUAUUAAUGAUAUCUGGCAGAGAAAGUGAUGAGAGAUGCUUAUCAAAAUGGCAAAAAAAAUUCCAGGAUGUGUAAGAAAGAAAGCCUGCAGUAGUUGAGAAUUAUGAAAUUACUCAUAUUGGCCCUAUCUCAACUGUCUUGUGAGAUUUGGCAACAAGUACAAGCAAAAAGAAAAGUUUUCUUUACCCUGACACACUUCAUGAGGAAGGUGGGGCACCAAGGAAGGGAAUACAUGGCCAGACCUUAAAAGUUUUAUAGGUUGAUGACACAGGGAUAUGAAGGGAGUAAAAUAUUUUACCCAGCCCAUGCUCAAGAUGGAGUCACUCUGGUUUGAAUGCCUCUGACAGCAGGAGGAUAGUUAAAAUCAUGACACAGUUUCUAAAUGAAUAUGAAAUGAUUGUUCUCUUGUAUCAAGGAUAAAGCAAGAGGGAACAGAAGCAACUCUACAAGUAACCCAAACUGUGCUAUUUCAGAUUAUUUUGUUGUCCUGCCAACUGUUAUUCAUUCCCUGGUCUUCUGUUAGUUAAAGGAUCACCAACAAAUUCUAAAAUAUAAAAGAUUAUUGGCUGGUAAAACUAGAUGUAUCUAUAAUAAAAUGAAGAACUCAAUUAUGUUUAAUUAUUGAACACAUGAGUAAGUAUGUAUAUUUUAAAACUACUCAAACUGUCCUCCUAGCUUAAUUUUAAGUUUGCAUUUUUUGAUAGAUGAAUUAUUUGGAGUAAUUCAGUUGAGAGCUAAUACCUAAUCUGAUUUGUGUUAAAAUACGAAAAAUCUGAGCUGAAUUCAGUAGCUCAUGCCUGCCUGUCCUAGUUACUUGGGAGGCUGAAGAGGGAGGAUGGCUUAAGCCCAAAGGUUUGAAGCUGCAGUAAAAAAAAUCAACUAAAAAUCUGCAUUUCUUUGCUUAAUUAAAAUAUUACUUUCAGAUAAUAAGUUCCAAAAUUAUAAAAUCUGGAAGGGUACAGUAGCUCAUUCCUGUAAUCCUAGCACUUUGGGAGGCUGAGGCGGGUGGAUCACCUGAAAUCAGGACUUUGAGUCCAGCCUGGCCAACAUGGUGAAACCCCGACUGUACUAAAAAUACAAAAGUUAGCUGGUCAUGGUGGUAUAGCCUGAAAUCCCAGCUACUUGGGAGGCUGAGGCAGGAGAAUCGCUUGAACCCAAGAGGCAGAGGUUGCAGUGGGCUGAGAUUGUGCAACUGCCCUCCAGCCUGAGUUUGUCUAAAAAAAAAAAAAA
This 2964-nucleotide long non-coding RNA is filed under the name Macaca fascicularis (crab-eating macaque). RNAcentral describes it as "lncRNA (ENSMFAG00000058179.1)". Lineage: Eukaryota; Metazoa; Chordata; Mammalia; Primates; Cercopithecidae. The record is from RNAcentral.